RNAcentral lists this ribosomal RNA (253 nucleotides) under uncultured bacterium. RNAcentral describes it as "partial 16S ribosomal RNA". It matches the Rfam family "Bacterial small subunit ribosomal RNA", at positions 524 to 776 of the family's 1533-position model. The record is from RNAcentral.
UACGAAGGGAGCUAGCGUUGUUCGGAAUCACUGGGCGUAAAGCGCACGUAGGCGGAUGUGUCAGUCAGGGGUGAAAUCCCGGAGCUCAACUUCGGAACUGCCUUUGAUACAGCACGUCUUGAGUCCGAUAGAGGUGGGUGGAAUUCCUAGUGUAGAGGUGAAAUUCGUAGAUAUUAGGAAGAACACCAGUGGCGAAGGCGACUCACUGGACACGUAUUGACGCUGAGGUGCGAAAGCGUGGGGAGCAAACAGG